Molecule: long non-coding RNA, 2316 nt
Organism: Peromyscus leucopus (white-footed mouse)
Lineage: Eukaryota; Metazoa; Chordata; Mammalia; Rodentia; Cricetidae
Exons: 2
Source: RefSeq, a predicted model, not a curated record
GGAGGGAAAGGGCAUUUAUCAUUUUUAUGUGGCAUUUCAAAGCAGGAGACUCCUCUCCUUGGCCAGGAGACAAAGGCCCGCGCUUGGGAUUAAUGGAAGAACCCCAUUUAAUCAUUAACAAUGCUAAAGUGCUUAAAAGGCAGCAAUGGACUCCUCGCUCAGCCCCUUGGUGCUGGGGAUGCCCUGAGGGUCCGGUGGGAUCAACUCAGGUCCUGGGCAGGAGGCUUUCUGCUUAAGCCUGAGGGGGCGGGUGGGUGUCACCCAAGUGACACCAAGCUGUGUUACCUAGCUCCCUUUGUCCUGCGAUGGUCACAGCACCUGCUCACUUUCUAGGCUAGCCAUGAAGUCCAAAAGGGUAGACAGCCCAAAGCCUAGUGUGCAGCUCGUGGUGUGACGGGAAGCCCCUGGCAAAGUCCCCAAAGCCAGUUCUUCACCUGUCCACAGCCACUGGGACAGGACAUGUCACCAGACUUAUCCCCAGCAGGGAGAGGCUCCACUCUGUGGUUCCUCUGUGCCACAGCUAUCCCAGAGAGAAAGUGCUUCCUGCUGCAUUUUCCCAGGUGUCUGGACAAAGACAGCCAGCAGUGCCUGUGGAGAAAUCCACCUCCUCUGCCGUCCUCCAGGCCAUCUGACCAGGAGGAGCUGAGAGCUGGGCAAUGCUGGGAACGGAAUCCAAAGUCUCAUGAGUGCCAGGCAAGAACUCUACCACAGAGUACAUCUCCGGGCUUCAUUUAAUCUUGACAAUAAGCCUUAUUUUGGAAAUGAGGAUACUGGAGUUUAGGGACAUUAAGUAACUUACAGAAGACGAAGCAGCUAGUUAUGAAAAAGCAGAUUAAAACCUCACUCCAGCUGGGGAUGUAGCUCAACAAGCAAGAAGAAUGUUCGCCUGGCAUGCACGAAGCCCUGGGUUCAAUCCCCAAUACUCCAUAAACCAGGCUUAUGUGCAGGUCUGGCUUCAAUCUCCAGAACCUCAGGGGGAAGGGAACAGUUCAGUGCUUGUCCUGUUUCACAUGUCCUUUCAGUCUGCACUCUUGGCACUUUGGGGACUUACUGAUGGCAGAGGGACCAAGUCCCAAAGACAGAAAGUACCCUGUGUGCCUGCAGCCUUUCAUGACUGAGCCACCAGUUCAAGGCCUCUUUAUGGAGCUCUUCUUCUGCCUUCAGGCUGCGGUUCUCCCACCCAUUUCACUCCAGAGCCGUGGGACUGAACAUGCCAGUAUGGUAAACUACAUACCCAGAGCCAGGAAAACAAUUCCUGCUUGCCCAUCUUGCCCCAGCUUAGCCCAGCAGGUCUGCUGGCUCCCUUAGAAACCACAGGGAAAGCUCCUGUACCGUCUCCUCCCGGAUCACUGUCCAUUCUAGCUAGUGAAGCCCAAGGGCCAGCAUGAAAUCAGCUCUGCUCUGCCACCAUGAUGGUCCCAGCAGCAACUUCUGUGGCACCGACAGGCUGAGUAGCUGGGCUGAAGCUGAUGACGGGUGCCCUGUCUCCUCAUGCCAUGCCCACCAUUUGAGUGGAGCUGGUGGCUUAGUUUCUUCCAAAGUCUAAAGUGGCCUAAAACUGCCUGUUUGCACAUGGGCCUAUAUACACAGGCCCAUGUACAUAGGCACGCACAUGUGUGCACAGACGUACACAUACAUGGGCAUGCACACACACACACACACACACAUACACACACACACACACACACACACACACACACACACACACGCGGAAAAAGAAAAUGGGGCUCCAUUCAGUGUCCUCCUGAAGGAAUGAUUGGGGAUAAUGCAGAGGACAGCCUGGCAGACUGUUAGAGAGAGGAGGAAGGGGCUGGGAGGAGGUAGGAGGGGCUUCAGCAGCUCAGCAGGUCACAACUGGCUUGCAGUUUGUUUUUGAAAUUAUGGUCUUAUUUUCCAUGUAGUUAAAUCCUCUCUUUGUGGGAUGUUUUAGGUAUUCAUUUGUAUGACCAUAGGUGCCCUCAAAACCCGGAGCAGCUGUACAGCUCCUGCUCAUUUUGUUCCUUUGAGCUCCUGCUUGAUGCCAGCCCUGUCCCUGCGAACGCUGAUCUAGUCCUCGGAUUUCACCUUUUCCAGGGUGCCCAGUAAGUGGACUGCUGCAGGUGACGGCCCGCUAAGACUGAUUUCUUCCGCUUAGUGCCACACAUCUGAGAUCCAACCAGGUUGCUGCGUAGGUCAGGGAAGGUUCCACUUUACUGAUAAGUCAUGUCUAUUUACUGUUCCCACUUUAGUACCCAGAUUCUCACCGGUUGAAGGAGAUCUGGAUUAUUUUCAGUUUGAAGUCUUUUUGAAUAAAGCUAUAAUUGUCUUUGUGCAGAA